RNAcentral lists this transfer RNA (73 nucleotides) under Candidatus Lindowbacteria bacterium RIFCSPLOWO2_02_FULL_62_12. RNAcentral describes it as "tRNA-Lys". It matches the Rfam family "tRNA". From Rfam's summary of the family: Transfer RNA (tRNA) molecules are approximately 80 nucleotides in length. Their secondary structure includes four short double-helical elements and three loops (D, anti-codon, and T loops). RNAcentral also lists the same sequence under 1 other name. Lineage: Bacteria; Candidatus Lindowiibacteriota. The record is from RNAcentral.
GAGCCCGUAGCUCAGUCGGUAGAGCAGCGGCCUUUUAAGCCGUGUGUCGAGGGUUCGAUUCCCUCCGGGCUCA